RNAcentral lists this long non-coding RNA (18498 nucleotides) under Coffea arabica (coffee). Its description in RNAcentral is "long non-coding RNA (CARA_LNC002073)". Lineage: Eukaryota; Viridiplantae; Streptophyta; Magnoliopsida; Gentianales; Rubiaceae. The record is from RNAcentral.
UUUUUUUUUGUCCUUUUUUUCAUGAGAAAUAUGAUCCAAAAAUAGAAUGAUGGUGUGUUGGUAUAAAAUUCAAUCAUUCUUAUGCAUUUUCAUAGAUAUUUUCUGCUUUCAAUGGACAUAUACCAUUUUUCUCCUGCCUCCCUGUUUCAUGAAAAGCAAUUAAAAUGUGUUAAUGAGGCUUCUAUUUACUUCAUUAAUUUUAGGGGAACAACGAGCUUUACGAGGAGGAGUUGCCAAAGUGUCCUUGCAGAACACUUACUUUCCCUAGUAAAGGUGGUUGCGCCCAUCCUCCCGCAUUUGGCUGAGGAUGUUUGGCAACAUCUUCCUUUUCAAUAUACUAAUGAAGAAGGGCAAAUUGCCAAAUUUGUCUUUGAGUCAAGAUGGCCUAUAAUUAAGGAAAGAUAUCUCGCUUUUCCUGUCGAAGAAGUCAAUUUUUGGGGGAAAAUUCUUGAGGUAAUACUUAUCUGUGAAAAAAGACUACAAGAUAUGUGCAGUAACUGCAGUUUCAAAUCUGUGUGUUUAAGACAAAAAGUGCAUCUAGAGUAAAAAGCAUUUUAAGAGAUAAAGUUGUCAUGAUGACCAAAUUUGGAUGAUAUUGCCUAAUCCCCUCUUUUUCGUAUUAGAUAGAUGCAUAGAUUUGUGGUGAAGAAUUGAAAGCUAUAGGCCUUCAAUUUACUUCAGUAUUGAUUUCCUUGGUUUAGCUCCAUUUCUCACCUUAAGUCCUUGUUUUUUGCUGCUUAAUGAUGGCACUGAACAGCUACAUUUCUUGUAGCUUGUUAUUUUAGUCAAGUCAUUGGUCAACUUCACAAUUUCUCAAUGUGAUUUGAGAAAAUGUAUGAACUAAAGUAAAAUGCUUGUCCUCUCUCUCUCUCUCUCUAAAGAUGUGUAUACACGUGCACAUUUAUGCAUAUCUUUCUUUCUAUCAACCAGAUUUGAGCUUAACAACUAAUUCUAACUUAACAUACUUUGACCAGCUAAGAACUGAGGUAAAUAAAGUGCUAGAGGUUGCUCGAUCUGGGAAGCUAAUUGGUUCAAGUUUAGAGGCGAAGGUCUACCUCCACACAUCAGAUGAUACUCUAGCUGCAAGAUUGACAGAAGCUUGUAAAUCUGAAACUGAUGCUGAUACGCUACCUCGUAUAUUCAUUACAUCUCAGGUAAUUUGGUUCAUGGUUUAUAUCUCUUUGCAAUUGCUGACUCUUGGAAUUUAAACUAGUAAAUCACGUAAAAGUUAGUCUGAUGUGUAUAACAAGCCGAUUUUCUUUGCAUUUAGUUUACCCAAGACAAUGCAUUAACGAACUCUCUUUCUUUGUUUUUAUUUGCCUUUUUUGGAACUCCUGGACUUGUGCAGCACGGGCAGUUAUGCCAUGGUGCAGUCCUCCAUACCAUGCUUGUGGCACACUAUUAAGGAGGUUACCAUUACAGUCUGAGAGACUUGUCUUGUUUAUGUGGGAACCUGGUCGUUCUCCGUUUGACAAUGUCCUUCCCCUUGUUUUUUCUUUUGUUCCCUCAAAACUUAAAAGCUGUCAGUAAACAAAUAAAGGUCUUACUACAGUAUAAAACCCACGACGUGCAAAUGACUCACAACACAAACUAGAACAGCCAAUGGUCACGCAGACUAAGGCAAAAGCGACACACAGUAAAGUGCCCUUGUUAUUUUCUCAAAUAUCUUCAAAGCUGGGAUAAGCAACUAUAUAUCUUGAUAUUCUUCUUCAAUCUUUUCUGAAGCAUUUGAAUUUAGGCUUUCUGGGGAUUAACCCGGUAUUGCACUUCAGAUGCCAUCGAAUGCUUUUACGAAAUUUCUCACUGAAGGUGGACAAAAUUAAUUCUGUCCAAUCAAGCCUUUCUUAAUUUUAUGACUUGUGUCUCAUAAAGGGUUUACUUGAUACGUUGGAAGAGGAUUUGAAUUGAGUUGGAGGUAAGAUUCCAAAUAUUGGUUAAACUGCAAGUCAUGUUUUAGACAGAACUUGGGCCAUAACCAUCAUAAAGGAGAGGUUUAGUAGUUAUUGAGUGAUUUUAUACAUCACCUCUUUGAUGGUUAUAUUUUAAUCCUUUUGAAAAUAAGAAAUAAUUGUUUGGUUUACUACAGGUACAAGACAUGAAUGAGGGUAGGGUUGAGUUUGCCUUGUCAGCUAUGAUGAUUAAUUGUGUGAUGCAGGUGGAGGUUCUUCCAUCCCUGGAAAACGAGCAUACUGAAGAUGCAUCAUACACAGGAGAAUUUCUCAUUGGAGGAAAAGACAGAGUAUGGAUUCGCGUAACGCGUGCAGCGGGCUCAAAAUGUGAACGAUGUUGGAAUUUUUCGCCUCAAGUUGGCUCUUUUGAUGAGCACCCUUCACUUUGCAGCCGCUGUUACAAUGUUGUCGCCGGUCAGCCAGAACCUGCUCUGGCAGCUGUGAGCUGAAUGAAAAACUUGGGGAGGUGAGAGAGCCCUGAUAAGCUUUUUGAAGGCCAUAUUUGAAUCACUCUCAGUUCAGCCAAGCUAUCAUCGGGCCUCGCAAGUUAGCUACUCGGAUUUCAUUAUUUUGAAGAAGACCCAAAUUUUGGAACUUGCAAGUUUUGGUGUCAAUUGAUAUGUAAAUACAUUGAUCUGAACAGCUUAGAGGCAAUUCUGGGGGAAGUAGUACAUCCCAUUUGCUGUUAGGAAAACCGGUAAUUGUAUUCAAAACAAGGGAUGUGUAGAAAAGCUGCGAGUGGUUUAGCUGAUCAGUGCAAGAAGCAUUUUCAAGAUUUCUAAUGCAAAAACUGUUUCAUCUGCUUCCAUUACGAUGACAAGCUGUUCAGUUUAAUACUUAUUGAAUUGUUGCUUCUUCCAUUAUGAUGCUGUCCAAUCACGAAGCCCUCGAAUUCAGUACAAGAUGAAGUAGUCAGAAUCCAGUCUGAAGAGUGGCGGCAGUUUUAAAAGCUGGAGUUGAUAUUGGAAAAUCGACUUCAGUUUAGAGUUCGACGGUUGCUUCAGAUUUUGCGGAAUCUAAAUAUGGAAACUAAAUAAUCAGAUUCAGCAAAAUCCGCUCGUUGACUGAUUAUAUAUUUUAAAUUCUUUUAGUGAUUAAAACAUAUACUUAUAUCAUUAAAAUAUGAAAACAUCUCAAAAACUAAUUAUUCAAAAUUAGAAACUAUAAUGAUUAUAGAUUUUAAUUUUGCAGUGAAUAAAAUAUAUAUAUAUAUAUAUAUAAUUAGAAUACAACAAAAACUACCGACAACAUCACAAAUUAGUUACAGCUUUCUCGUUCGUCUUCGUAUGUGUAGUUUUAUACAUAUUCAGAACGCAGAAGCUCCUCCAUAAAAGUCUGCAGCUCAUAUCCUCAGUGUUAUGUCACUUCAAAUUUCCAACAUCACCUGAAAGUCUAGAUCCAAAAUACACCGCCCACGUUGCAUUCGCCGCUUCUACCCUUCGCUUUUCCCAGCUGCAAUCGCCGGUCCCGCCACUGCAUUCUCAGUUGCCACCGCCGUCACCGUAGCUUCCAGGUUCUCCUUUCUUUAAACAGACCUAAUUCUUAAAAAUAACCAAGCGAUUUGGCAAUGAAAUUCAUGAUUUAUUGUGUAUGGUUCUGAAAUUUUUAGUUGCUCUCCCACAGUUAAAUCUAUGGAUAGUGCUUCAGACCAAAAAGAAGAAGAGAAAGAAUUAUAUUGGUUAGUGCACGUUAUCUUGCUUUUUAUGUGUCUUACCUCGGUGAUACGAUUGAUGAGGAGGAUUAACUUGAAUUGUGUAUUUACCCAGGGAAAAAAAACCCGGUCUUUGAUGCAAGACUUCAGUAUUUCUCUUAUCUUGACCCAAAUAAGCAUUCCCGAGAGCUACUUGUCUGGCUAGAAAAUUUCUAGAUUAGGAGUAUUUUUUUUUUGCCCCUUUUUGGUCUGUCUUCGGUUUUAGGAUAGUGCUUUCAUUUGGGUUGUAUUUUAUGUCACACCACCCAUAUCAGGUGGCAAUGUCUUAGCCGGCAAAGCAAUGGAAAUGCAUCCAAUUGAUCAACUUCAAUGCCAGCCGUCCCAUCUUGGGUGGCUAGUGCUUUCAUUUGGGAAGGAGGAAGAAGUUAAAGGAGGACAUCUUCCCUUUUCUAUUGGACAGUUGGAUGAGAGUAACUCAAUGCUACUGCUGGUGAUGGAUGAGAACCGAGUUCUAUAUCCAUGCUACAGAAUUUUGGUUCACAGGCUGUGUUUUUUUUUUUUCUUUAAAUAAGAAAUUAGCACGAUUGGUUUUGAAUUCGAAAGUAAUGAAUUCGUGUUUCAACUAUUUUUAAGGGCGAAAACAUUUGCUUUAAUUGGUUAUUGAUCGUUGAGCUGAAUUUUAGGGAAUUGUGGUGUUGCACCUUGGUGCUGUGCCCUUUCUAAUGGUGGAUCUGUUCGGGCCUGAGGAUGGAGGCUGUACUUUUUCCUUAUUUUUUUAAUCCUGUUUUUGGUUUUCCAUUAUGCUGACAUAAAUGACCACAGAAAAUAUAUCAGGUGACUUUCACUUGGUAUUUUCUGUGUGCUUAAUCGCCUGAUAAUGGGCGUAAUAGUGUAACAUGUACACCUUUAAGAUUUUGAUGGUAAUUGGAGAUAUUUAAUAGUUUAGCUGCCAAAAAUUUACUAGAUUAAUAGUUUAGUGGUCGUUUUAGUGUAUUUUCCUAAGCUUUUUCUGUGGAUAAAUAACAGGAAGCAGUUUGUUUCAUUGGCAACAUAUAGGUUCUGGUCUGUAUCUUAGGCAUUUAUGAGACUAAUAUAUGAUUUUAACUUGUUCUUUCUUCAAGUAUACGCAUUGUCCAUCUUUCCCGACUUGACUUCUCCUCAGCCAUUUACAAUUUUCUCUUAUCAGGAAGUGAAAUUGGAAUGGGGCAAGGGGUUGGCUGAGAAACGAGACGCUGAAGCAAGGAUGCAGGAAUUAGAAGCUGAGAAAGACGAACUGUUUGCAAGAAGCAGGUACACAAGAAGAAAGAUUUUCUUUUUUCUGGUUGUUUUAAUUUGCAUGUAUUAGUUAGUACUAUAAAAAAAAAAAAAAAAAAAGUACAUGAAUCAUUGCAUCAAGAAUCUGAUCAAUGCAUAGAGCAACUUGCUAAGAUAUGCAUCCUCAACAGCACGUUUCUUCUUCUCGCAUAUGGUUACUCAGCCAAUGUGGAGAAUGAUUGCUUAAAUUUUUUUUAUCUAGAUUUUCACAAAAACUACUAAUCGUCUCUUGCGCGCCUGCCUGAUUUAUUUUAUGUUUUUUAAUCCCUCGCAGAGAUGACCCCCGAACUUGAUAGAACGCUCAAGGAAAGAGUUAGAUGGGGUGAUCGGUCCUAUGGCACAUUUGGUCAAGGCAGUUUUCUGAUUAAGUUCUGCUGUUUAAUGGACUGGCCCCAAAGAAAUUCUUUUGUGUGAACUCAUCAUUUACCAUGUUGCAGUUGCUAGAGUUAUUCGUUAAAUUUAGUCCCAGUAAUUAUUUUGGGUGGUUUAUGAUCAAAUGUUUGAUCUUGUGCAUCUACUGGGGUUUGAGAAACAAAUGUUCAAUAGAAUGAAAUGAGAAACAAGCUACAGAGAGGGAGGCGUGUUUGUGCUCUGCGUCAGACAUGCGAGGAGUAGUAACCAGUAUCAUACGACACCUGGUGACGGGUUGAAACUACAGAAAAGACGAGGACAAGGGAUUUAUCAGUGGAAAACCAACGGAGGGUUGCCUUGCCUGUCGCCUGCUUCAUUGACGGCCACGAAUGAGAUUAGACCUGGGGAAUGGCAACUUUGUCUUGUAUCCUAUUCAUGCUAUUGCUUGCAGCUCUCUGCUGCAGAAUUUUUAUUCACUGCUAAUACUACUUUUUCUUUUCUUUUUUUUUUUUUCCUUUGACCCCCCUAUGGUACCGCCUAUCGAAUAAUCUUUGCUUCGAGAAUCUGGAAGUUUUGUGGAAGAAAUUUUGCACCCUUCAAAACAUAAAAAAGAAUCUUAGCCGAGGGAUUUUGAUUCAACAAUCUUUGUUUCAGCAAAUUUAAGGAAAUAAACUAAAUAAUUCUUCUUUUUAUUACCAAAAAUUAACUUGAGCAAAUUACCCGCGUCUACCCGCGCCACUGCGCGGAAAGAGACGCAAUUCCAAUGAAACGUCACUAUUAAAAGAAAAGUCACUAUAGAAGAACUAGCUCUAAGCCUGACUCAGUAAUUUUCAACGAGGCGAUUUAGUUGUAAAAUAUCUGCCACCACUUGAAGAAUAUGAAGUAAAUCUUUGUAUUUUUUUUUUUUAAUUUACAGGCACAGAUGGAAAAGCCAUCGGUUAAAACUACGUGACUAGAUUAAGACUCUUCCACUAUUGUUUGGCCAAAUGGCUUAAUGUUACACGUAUGGGAGCUCGGCACCAACCAAUGGCUUCAAAGAGAAUUGAACUCAGCACCAGAUUCUUGAAAUGGUUGUUGCAUCAAGUCUGAUCCUCCAUCUUCAUCUUGGGAUAAUAUUGGUAUAUCCUACCAAGGAUAAGCCGCGUAAGUUACGAGUCAUCAUCGAGAAAAAAGAAUUACGGCAUCCCACCACCGCCAUGACCCCAAUAAAACCAGAAACAAGUCGCAAAGCAUAAUCAAAGGAGAGGAGACCAUUUUGGACCAGAGUACCAGAAUCACUAAGCCAUUUUUCCUUCCAUUGCAUAACAAAGCCAACUAGUGCUCAUAAAUCAACAAGAAAUGAUGGGGGCAAAAGGAAGAGAGGAGGGGGGAAGCGGCAUGCUACUAACACCAGUUUUCAUUUGCUUUACAACAGUAGCACUCUCACAACAAGCGGGAUACCAAUUACGCUUCUAUCCUGAAAGGUCAUGUCCUAAAAGUCCAUGUAUACCAUACUGCGAAGGAGAAGCCAUGUAUUGCAAUUGUUCAAUUCUUAAUCACUAUAUCAGAAAAUCAAAGAAGAUAAACUAGGGUUUUACAUGAUGCCAGUCAAUACCUGUGUUUGCAACAAUUGCUGCGAUUGUUGGUCUUGGGCCGCAGGGCAGACCUGGGGUUGAGACAUCCGGUAAUAGGGUUCUUUUAGAUCAAGUUUGCCCGUUGAAGUUUGGAGUAUUCCACCUUGUUCAGCACCAGGGCCCCACAUCUUAGCUAUUAAUGACACCAAUAGAGUUUUUUCUUUUACUAACAAAAAUAUGGUAACAUUGGCAACUAAGAGAAACUAAAAUUAUCACAAGUCCAAGUCAAGUAAAUUGUAGAAGGAACUAUAAUGUCUAACCAGAUAAUGUCAGGUGAAUUGUAUAGCUCUGAGCAGUAUGGGCAGCCAAGUGAAGUCGACCAGUUAUUUCUUGUCCUGGCAUGACAUAAAUUGGCUGAGAUAAAACACAACGUAGCUGGUACCAGUGGGUGGUAGGUGAGCCAGGUGCUGUGCUCAGCCACCUCUGAACAGUGCUGCAGGCAAAGAAAUUUUACACAAUUGCUUUAAAAUGCAAUCAAUAACUAGAAUGACCACUGAAGAGACAAAAACGGAAUGGCUUACCUUCCAUUAAAUAGUACAUCAAACCAGCAAGCCAAACCAUGAAUUCGAGUGCCAACAGAAGACACAAAUUUUAAAGGGAUGUCUAUGUCAUAUAAUUCUUCCUCCUGAAAUACGAUUGAGAUUUUACAUUAUCCUCAUGAUGCCAAUCAGGGAUCAAAUCAAAGCCAAUUUUUCUUCCUUCAUGUAAACACCCCAGCAUAUUCAAGGUAUAACAGGACCCUUCUUCACCUAAUUAAAUUGAAAGAAAUUGGGGGUACGACUGGACCAUUGCUUGGUAAAGAGCACGUAACUUGCAGCAGCAGAGAUUUUACUAGUACCUUGAUUGAAGUGAAGUUUAUCACAUGAGAGAUUGCAGGAGCCACUAAUAACCUUGGAUCAAAAGCAUCAACCACAGGCUGUAGCAAACAGGAUGCAGGUUGUGAGUAGAAGAAAGCACAUAAUUGAUAAGGCAAAAAUUAAAAACCUAUUCUCUCCAAAGAAAAGACAAAUAGAGGGUUUACCAAUAAUAAAGAAAGGGAGACUGAUGGAUAGUUUACUACAAAAUAGGGCAGAGAAGUGACAGGAAAAAAUUUUCAGAGAUGGACGAGAACAAAAAUAAAAAUUUCUUCUCAAGACUUGGAAGAAAAAUGCAGAUGUUUAUGAGUCCCACCAAACCAGCAAGUCCAAUAGGAUGGCUGAAGUUAAUGUAACAUAUUUUGAGUCUACAGAAAAUUUUGCACAAGCUAAGAUAUAGCACACAUUGAUCAUGAAUGCAAGCUUUUCUCAUCACCUCCUUUUACUUGACAUUGUUCACUGAAAAUGCACUUCUAUUUCCAAAACCCCUUCCUUCAUUUUGAUUUGAAGAUUAUCAGCUAAAAGUUUUCCAACUAGUCACAGAGGUUAUAGGAAAUUAAAUAGCAAAGAACCUGCAACAAAUUCUGCUAAAGGCAAACCAUAACAAAGUCCAAAAUCAUAUACUCUUGAGAGGUUCUUUAAUAACAUAGACAUGUUAAUAUUGAUCAGACAUUUCUACAUUUAUAACAUAGCUCUAACUUGUAUUGGUGUUCAAAACACCCUCCUCAGAACAUCAAAAAAACAGUUGAGUAAAAAAGGAAAAUCAACAAGAUAAACCAUAAAUAAGUCCAAAUUCAAUACUCUAAGAAAUAAAAAAGUUAGACCUGUGAAAAGUAUCCUUGGAAUGCAGAUCCAUGUAACGAUGUCAAAUUAACACCAUAAUAGUUUUGCUGCUGCCAAAAGAGAGCCUAGAAGACAAGAAAUGAAUGGAAAUUCAUGGUAAGGUAUGUGUUGUCAAAGGACAGUAAAAUUAACCAUGACACUAGGACCACUUCGAAAAAAUUACAGACUUUUUGUAUUCCCCCCCACCCCCCCCCCCAGGGGGUUCACCCAGUAAUGAGCAAGUAGGUAACAAUACACCUCAAAUGUAUACCUUAUUCGCAAUUUCUAUGUAUAAAUAUUCAUCACUGAAAGGAGCCAUGUGUAUUCUGCAAAAGCAAACAAGUCAAGCAAUCAUACUGCUACACUGGAUGAGAAAAGAAGCCUCAUCAACCUCUGAGGUAAACAGAGACCUAGAAGGCCUUAACAUGCUAGAAAAUGGGUACAUAUGGCUGGAAAAGGUCUAUCUCAACAUAUUUGACAAAACUUCGGAUUACAUGGAUAAUGUGUGUUGCUUAGCAGCAGCAGAUGACUAUGCUUAGUAAAGAAAAGAAAGCAACAAAAACAAAGUUCUCGCAAAUUAAGAAAUAGUUGAUGCUUCUUUUGAAAUUCAUUUGCUAGAAUGUCGUGCAGUAAAUCAAGAAUAAGUAAACAUUUGAACCAAGAUUUGACCUUUCCAUUUGUCUAGGACAAAAUGUGAACAAAAUCAUGUGUGUUGCUUAGCAGCAGCAGAUGACUAUGCUUAGUAAAGAAAAGAAAGCAACAAAAACAAAGUUCUCGCAAAUUAAAAAAUAGUUGAUGCUUCUUUUGAAAUUCAUUUGCUAGAAUGUCGUGCAGUAAAUCAAGAAUAAGUAAACAUUUGAACCAAGAUUUGACCUUUCCGUUUGUCUAGGACAAAAUGUGAACAAAAUAUACUCAUAUUAAGGCAGUUAAAUUGUAUCUCUACCCAUAAAUCUGCUAACUGAUUUUGUUAACCUAAAAAUGCUUCUUAUUUUUUCUUUUUGGGUGGGGGAGGGAAGAAAAUUUAGUUUUUAGAUAGAAUGACAAGUAAAGAGUGCCUUGGUUGUAAUAGUCUCUAGAACACUGCUUUUACAAACUGAAAUUACCUUCCCACUGCAGGGAACAUUUUUCCAUUUGGAACAAGGAAACGGUCUCUUGCAAUCACAUAGGACUCGAGCAUUCUCUCAUUGACCAGCAAAGUGCCUGCAUGAGGGAAUCCUUCUCGUCAAAUAGAUGGUAAACAUAUUAAUAUUCAUCACAAUAGCCCAAUAAAGAAAAAGGCCACAUGUGCCUCAAGUAUUGCAUGCGCUGGAUGGGAAGUAAUAACAUAAGAUUUAUUUGACAAGGGCAAUCAAACUUUAACUUCACCGCCCUGCUGGGGGGAGACACACACACACGCACAGGGGUGAACAAAAAGGAGCAUGCUGCCGUCCCAUGCAUUACGAUAACAACAUUCAUGACUAAAAAAUGCAGACUAGUCAGCUAAAGGCAAUAGGAGAGGAAAGGAAUCUGCAAAAAAAAAAAAAAUUAAAAUAACAAGUAUGAAAAAGAAAAGAUGCCAAACUCCUCAGCCACAACUCAGCAAUCAAUUUUUUCCCUUUUUUUUCUUUUUGGUCUUUUCUUUUGGUGAGAAGGGGCUGUGUGUAAACAAAUUCAAGGUACAUGCUGAAGACCCAAAAUGAAGACAGAGGAAACUUCUAAAGGGACUUGGAAAAUGAAGAUGAUGAACGUCAAUGCAUAAAAAGCAGACAAUUAACAGUUUUGAAAUUCAUCUCUUCCAUCUCAGACCACUAGUCAUUCAGUAUGGCAUUGCAAUGACAAGAACCAGGAACCUCAUCUACUAGAUCUCCUUUCGAGUAUGACAAAGUGAACUUACCCAUAGGCUCAGAUAUCAAGAUGUCAGCUUUCUCAGGUAAUUCAACUUCUUCAACUUUGCCCUUGAUUACCUAUUAUAAUAUAGAUGGGAAUAUUAACUUCCAAUUGUAUUAUAUAACAGCUAAUAAUGAUUCUCACCGACAAAUCAAAUGCCAAGACAAGCACUCACAGUAAUUCUUUGACUAAGUAUUGGAUUCCCAGCAAUAAGUUUACGCGCAUAUUCUGCCAUUUCAGACGCUUCAACAGCAUAGACAUGUUUUGCACCAGCCUGUGAGAGAGAGAGUGAGCAAGCUGCCAAAACAACUCUUCAUAUCGUUUCUCACAAAAGGAACCACAAUAAAGAGCAAAUGUUUCUGAGAGAUACAAGUAAUUAGGAAAACCUGGGCAGCAAAUAGGGACAAAAUGCCACUACCAGCACCAACAUCAACAACUACACGGCCAAAAAAGUCGGCACGGUUCUCAAUGACAGCAGCAUAAUAUGUUCCUGAAACAUACAAAUUAUUAAUGGCACGGCUUCAUAGUUUAAGAAAAAACAAACAAAAGGGGAAAAAUUUUAGCAUUAUCAUUACAACUCUUGCUUUAAGUAUCAGCAUCGUGCUGCAACUAAAUGAAAUUCCAGAAAAGAUGUUCAUACUGAUUUUCCAUCUGUCUUGAUUUACAUACAGCAAGAAACACACUUCAAUUGCUAAGGUUUCAGCUCAGAAAUCGCAGAACAGGCUAUUGCACAAUUUUAAUUACUUAUAUACAUAUUAUUACGAAUAUAUGUUACAUAUCAAGCUUGUCAGCUAUGAAUGCCUAAUCCAUUAGAGGGAAUUUUGUAACGACGAGAGGGAUUGCUAGGUGUAUAACAGAAAGAAUGGUUGAAACAGGAACUCACAAAACAAAAAGGAAGAAAAAGCUAAAAUGAGGUGAAAUUCAUUACAUUAAGCCAAGCAAGGGCACAAGCCCAACCAUGUUAAGACAGCCUAAUUUUUAUUCGACCAUGGCCAUGUACAUCAUGCAUUAAAUUAGCAGCUUAAUAAGGAUCCUAUUUAGUAGCAACAUAUACCUUGUUCAAACAAAAUAUCAACAUAGAUGAGGUUGAAGGAAUACAAAAUUACAGAUUACAAUUCUAACCUGUUCUCACAUAAUCCUGCAACAUAUUUUGCUGAUGCAAUAGUUGCCCAUAAUAGUGGAAGUACAUUUUAGCAGAAGAUGCCUCUAUUUUGCUAUCAAAUUUGCUUUGUGAUGCCAACACAGUCCCAUUUGGCAAAUGUGAGGCUGAAAGAAAAAGAAUGAGUGCCAAAUUAAGUUAUUGUUCUUAGCCAAUAUCAAACAUCUAAAAAUUACAGGAAUCAAAGUAAUGAUAAAGAGCCCAUCUCUUAUCUAAAAGUCUCAAGGAACUGCCUCUAAAUGCAAAUUGAAAAUGCAAUAUCAUUUGAAAUGCAGUUUGUCCCAAUGAAAAAUUAUGUAUACAAAAUGAAGCAAAAAGUCCAAGUUUGAUACACUAUCCUAACCAUUGAAUGCAUCAGAAGAAACAACCUCACCCACAACAGACAAAAGAGGAGUUCAGUCAUGUGAAACAGAAGAUGCAUGCAAUAUGCAACUAAAGUCAACAUGCCAGUCCAUUCUCCAAAACUCAUAGAUAAAUAUCAAAACAGACCUUGAAAAACCACUUCUUUCUUCCAUUGAUCAAAUGCACAAUGGAAGGCCCUACUUUCCUCCUCGUUUCUAAAUUGAAUGGUGAUUCCCCUUGAAUAGGUUUUCUGGUUCAAAAGCACAAAGUCAACACAAGGACAUCUGAUAAUGCAAGGGCAGCUUCCACAAUAAUGCCAAGCACAAGAGAAUUAUAUUUCUUUUCCAGUUUAUUUGUUGGUAUCAAAUAAAAGAAUUUAUACUACAAGUAAAUUCUUUGUUAAGGCUUUUAUAAAAUAGUUGAAGAACUAUUUCAUCUGGCAAGAUCAAUUUGAAACCUUACUGCAUGAUUAGUAAAAUAAUGCUCAAAGUUCACAACUUUAAUCCGCAAUUGCACCACAAAAUAGUCCAUAUAUCCAAGGUUAUACAGUACAGUGCACACACACACAUGCACAGAAAGAGAGAGAGAGAGAGAGAGAGAGAGAGAGAGGAUGUUAGCCUGAUAGUCACAGAAAUUGGAUCAGAAAAGAUGCCAACAACCCCCCCCCCCUUCCGGGGUUCUUUUAGUACAAUGCAGAUCUGGAAGAUUAAAACUUUCAAGAUCCUUAGCAUGUCUAGUCAAAAAUUUUGGGACAAUGUCCCAACUUGCAGGUCUCGGGAACUACAAGUUGAAUGUGUAGGCAUACCAGGGUCAACGGGUGUCAAAUCAGAUACCAAAAAUCAGUCCGAGCUUGUAAAACAUGGCCAUUCUUUUAAGAUGAAAAGAAAUCAGAAGUCCACCAUUGUUGAACAGCUCAAGUAAAUUUAAAAUGUAGAAAACUAUUCCAUAUAAUGCACGGUUCAUAAAAGUAAAUGAGAGUUGAUAAUCAGUAACUUGUACCUCUUUAUUACUUUCCGAAGCUUCUUGUAUGCACAUUGACUGAACUUGGCUUAGUUUAAAAAGCUGGCAAAAACGAAAAGAAAAUAAAACGAUUCACGCUUCAAGAGAAUUGCAAGCAAGUCUCAACAGUCAGAUGACAUUACUACAAAUGUUAAAGUUUUAGGCUUUUCACCACCUUUUCUAUUGCUUUAAUUAACUUCUAUUUGCAAUUUCUCAAGAUAAAAAUUGAUGAAGGAAAACAGCAUCACACAAAUUCCUUAAGAUCUAUCGCAAAAACACCUCCGACUUUUACUCUAACACACCAUGGAACGAGUUAGCAAAACAGGACAUCUACAGCUCUAAGCUACUUAAAUAGACAUUAAACUUAAACAAAAAAAAUAAUAAACUUUACACCUUCUUUCAAAAUCUUAGUAGCAUUGUUGCCUUCGAUGAAAGGACAUUCCUCGAGUUAUAAAUUUUUUUUUAACCAUAAAAUACUUUAAAAAUAUGUCCUUUUUUCCCAGCUAAAACUUCCAAACUUUAAAUUGCAAAAUAAUAUUUCACACACACAAAACAAACAAUACAAUCUCUCUCUAUUAAUGAAACAUCCUAAAUGUGGAGCUUGCACUCCCCAAGCUAUAUCUCAAAUAUAGAAUUUACACGAAUAUAAAGGAAAACCAAAAAAACUUGCCUGAGUGCAACGAAGAUCGAAAUGAGGCAAUAAAUUAGAUUCAGAAUCUUCACCAAACCGAAGCUCCGCCACUCCAUUAUUAAACCUAAACCGCCCAAUCACGGGAGAAGAACUCGAAGACGAUGACGCCGGUACCUCCGUUAUUGAAGCGACAUUAAAUUCUUCGUUUUUCACUAGCUCUUUCCCCUCUUCUACAACCGGAACCUCCAUUUUUCAAUUUCUCUAAAAUUCGGAGCUUUAUUGGAAUUAGUUCUGUAUGAAUAAGAAUUGGGGGGUGUUCGUGUGUGUACAAAUGUGUAUACGUAUAUAUCCGUAUGUAUAGGAUGACAGAGAAAAUCUAGGGUUUAAGAGAAGACUGACUGACUGACAGAAGGUGACAAAGUAGUGGGGCGGUUCUAGUGCCGCAACAGCUUUCUUGUACUGGAACUCUACCACCUUGUUUAGGACUAGUGUCUUUUUUCUUUUUUCUUUUUUUUCCUUUUUUAUUAUCCAACACGAUAGAUUCUAUUCUACGUCUAUCUCUACUUUAUACUAAAAGUCUAUAUUAGGAAGAACGAAGGAUCCAAAAGGGUCAGGAGGUAACCUGAGGAGACUGGACUACCGCCAGUAGAUUCUACUCUACAUCUACACCUACUUUUACUUUUUACUUUAUACUAGAAGUUUAUACUAGAAGUCCUACUUUGGAAGAAAGGAAGGAUUCAAGGGAGUCAGGAGGAAAAUUCGAAGGAACUAAACCAACACCAGUUUAGACGGAUAUCUAUAUUGCUACCCUAUACUAGGAGUCCUACUUUAUAGUUUAUACUAGGAGAAAGGAAGGACCCAAAAGGGUCAAGCGGAAAAUCUGGGAGAGUAAACCACUAUCGAUCUAAAUAGAUAUCUAUACACCCGCUGGUAAAAUAUUUUAAGAAAAUUCUGAAUUUAAAAUGCAAGCCAGGGAUAUGAUUUCUUGACCUACGUCCAAGUAAAACCUUAAGCCUCUCUUGAUAGCCAACUACUCUAAAGUAAUUGAUUAUUUAAGACUAGUGUCUAAGGCACACACGUUCACAUAUGCAACUAAUGAAAGUAAUUUGUGUUUGAAUAUAUUUGAAAUUAUUAUUAUUUUCACAAAAAGUAGUUUUAUGCUGUAAUGGUAAAUAUGUAGAAAAUUCACUAAAAUAAAAUAUAUAAAAAAUAAUUAUUAUUUAUUGAUAAUUCAUAUAACCAUAAUUGAUAGUUGCUAAUAAAAAUUAAGGUUCAUUAAAUAAUAUAUUCAAUCAAAACUCCGAUCACUUUUCCCUAUAGAUAGCAAUGGGGUGUGUAUUAGCAAAAAAAGGGUUUAGCUUUACUGCUAAUUCGCAGUAUUUCUUAUAUAAGACUGUAAUUAAUUAAUUGUUUACAAGAAAAUUCGGACAUCUUAGCAUACGCUUUAGAACUAAUUCUCUGUUGGUGCUUUUCUUGUUUGAACGCACAGCAGUUUAUCGUUUUUGCUUUUCAAAGGUAUACUUCUGAAUAGUGUAGCGUAGUGUAGGUUCACCAUACAGAUUAAGUCAUCCCAAUCAAUCUUAUAGGAGCAGAAAGCACAAAAGCGAAGCUGUAGGUUAUACCAAUCGCAACAAAAAAGCUAGUGCUUAUGGAAUAUAUAUCAGGGGGGGAUGCAAUGGAAAAAGCAUGGCGCUUUAACAGAGCAUAACUUGAACCAGUCAUCUUCCUUUUGAAGCAGUACUCAUGAUGAAGUCCGUGGAAUUGGAUCCUCAAAGCUUGUUUCAAGCUGUGUGAUUAUGUAUCCUCGUGCUGGUUAGUCUUUUUUUUAAUCCUAUCAGUCAAAACAAAACAGAUUAGUUCAUUGUCUAGGCAAAUGGGUUGGUUCAUCAUCAUUCACGCACAUUUUUGGUAUCAGUCAAUAAUAAUAUUUUACAACUACAAGCUACCCACGAAAUGCCUGAAAUCAAACUUCUUGGUGGUUUCCCGAGUGUUCUAACAAAAGAAAAGACUGAAAUCACAGCAGCAAGAAGCUAAACCAUGAUUCAUCUUUUCUCCAUCUGUCGGCCGCAUUGUGAAAAGACAAAAAAGGAAAAGGGCCAAAAGCAAAAAAGUGAACUAAAAUAAAUCCAUAAACCACUCAGUUUUCUAUCUGACUUCAACCAGUUUAUCACAUCACCAAAGGCCAACUGGCACCUGACCUUUGGCUCAUGGCGUAUUAUCAUCAGCUUCAGCAAUUGCAUUCAUUAUUUCGCGGCGCCCAUGCUCUAAGACCACAGAGCCUGAUCUUAUCAAACGUGGCCUUUAUUCCUAGUGCCGCAAAGAACAAAAUUAUACUAUAUACAGAAACUCUUCUGUGGAGUAACCUUUUCCAUUCAACUUCAAAAAGCGAAUACUACUGUGUAUUUGUCACUGUUUUCUCCAUGUUAGUCAGGCAGCAGUACUACUAGGUUUCAAGCUUAUGCUUAACAAUCCAAAUACAUAACAAUUCUUGCGUCCUUGAUACUCGGGCAUCUAUGCGCACUGUGCAAAUUUCAAGCCUCAAACUCUUUGAGAGUUAAGCCAACAUAACAGCUUAGUCCAUCAAGGUAUUAUCGGUUACCGCAUCACAGGCUGAUCAACGACAUAGCAUAUUGCUGCAAUUACCCAGCAGAGUUCAUCGCAACCAUUUGCAGUGAAUCGUAAGGAUCAGAGAAAGUCUACAACCAUGUCAGAUACUGACUAUCACACUGUUUAGAAUUCUGUUCCAUUUUAUUCCAAUAACAAACAACAGGCAUACAUACAUACAGCAGAAACAGGUCCAUUUGUUAGCCAAGCACCUUCUUUCCAGCCUUCAGCUGUUGUGUAACAGUCGCACGUUAAAUGAACUAAGCCAUAAUUCUAAUCCAAAUAUCAAGACAAGGAAGAAAGAACCAAGAUCAGGAACACAUUUGAGACGUUCAAUCGGCUGAUAUUCUGUCUCCAUCUACAGAUCCAAUUCAAUUUCAAAGAUUUAGAAACUUGUCAAUAAUAUUAGGAAUGCCAGAACUCUAUUUGCAGCAGAGACAGACACCUUAAAAAUGGUCAACAAAGUUUCACCAAUAAGCUUGACAAACACAACAGGUCGAUCUCAAACUGCUUCCAAUAUGGACAUUGCCCCGUCAAUUCACCAAAUUUUGUUAGCCUAUUGUCACUAAUGGAUUCGGAAACCAAUCUUGUCAGCAAAAGUUGUUCAAGACGAAUUUGAUGGUGUCUCUAUUCCCUUAAAGUUGAUAUCAGUAUCAAAACUCUACCUUACAUCCAACAUAUUCUGGGCAAUACCCAACUUGUAAGCAGACCUAAUACAGACGUUCCAGCGCUCAGGCAAGUUCAGGAGCAGCAACAAAAGUUUAUCAAAAUAACAGAUGGUGGAAAAGCAGAAAACGACAUGCCUUGAAGUCAUUAGGAGUCCAGCCUACUAAUAACUGAGAAGAAAUGAAGUCCAUCCACCAAGCUUCUCACAUUCUUCCUCUUAUGGAACUAUUACAACAUGCAUAUACAUAACUGCUUCCAGUGUUAAAAUUAUGCUAAUUAAUCAGUAGUAUUGAACUUGCAGCUCAUAAAUGAAUAUAUAGAACAAAGUAUUACCAAAUUACCUAUAAAAAACUGGUGUAUUCACAGAGCAGUUGAUUCAAAUAUCACAAGCUUCUGUUACAAACCUUAGGCAACUUGUGUGUGCCGCAAUAUUUUGUCAACUUAAUCCUGUCAUGUUCAUCAUACUAGACAGUGGCUUAUUGGGCAUGUUCAAUCACAUACUUCAUCAGUUUAAAGCCUUUCAUUGCUUGCGCUAAGGUAUAAUAUGACAGAAACUCAAAACACUUGAAAGAUGUGAUGUGCCAUCGUAUGACAAGCGUAUUUCACAACUUUCUGCUACUAGAAACACCCAAAUGAAUCAGAUAAUAGACAAUUGACAGACAACCAUAACAUAUUAAUGGUUUAGAUUAUGCUAAGGAACCAAAUAUAGACAAGCAACCAAAUUCUAUAAAAAGGAGUACAUUACUAUGAAUCACGCUCACCACCUAAUGAUGGACUAAAUUCCAUAAGUGCAAGUUGAUGAACUAUUGGACUACAUUCAGUGAUCCAUUAAACGCACUGUCCAGGAAACAGAAAAUGCAACCCAGAAGACGCAUUUCCUUAGAUAUUGCAUUAAUUGAAGUAUACUGCCAAAGUUAACAGCUAAUACAAAUUCUGACUAUGCUUUCAUUAAGACUAUUUCACAUAAAGAUUGCGACAAAUAAAGGAAUACAAGAACCAGAGCUCUAGACGAGUGAGAGACAACAACAAAAUACAAAAUGACAUGUAUUAUGAUUAACAGUCCCCCAAAAAACAAAAAUAAGGCAGAUAGGGCAACCUAAUCUUGAUUCCAAAUCUACCCCUCCAAUGCGCACCUAAGAAGCAGAAACCUUAACAGCUUUAAAUGCAGGGUGAAGUAGCCCAAGCUCAUCUUGCACUUCAAGAGGAUUACUUGUCUCAUUCCGUGUCCUUUUGACUUUCCGACUAGCAAGUGACUUGUGAGUGAAUCCAUACAUCUGAAGAAUCUGAUUGUCUGCAAAAUUAUGUGCACGAUCCAUCUGCUUCAAACACCUCUCAACUGAAUAAUCCCCAAACUUUCCACAAGGCUUGCAACCGACAAAGUGAGUCACAAGUGGCCACCGAUGAUCGCCCAGACCAGGAUGAUAAUUCUCAAUCAUUUCCUCGUAUCGAUCCACUAAAAUUCCCCAAUAACCGUGCAAAUAAUAAGCACUCUCAAGGUACACCUUCUCGGCCCACUUCUCCCUCUGAGUUGUCAAUAUAUAAACCAUAGCAGACUGGUCAUCAGCUUCAAAAACCGGUCUAUCCUUAAGCUCCCUAGUCAGAAGCUCUCCAGCUUCAUCCCUUAUCUUGCCUUUAGGACCCAUAGGUGCCCAAGUAUCAAGAAUAUCCAAAGACCAU